Molecule: transfer RNA, 69 nt
Filed under: Ictidomys tridecemlineatus (thirteen-lined ground squirrel)
Lineage: Eukaryota; Metazoa; Chordata; Mammalia; Rodentia; Sciuridae
Description: Spermophilus tridecemlineatus (thirteen-lined ground squirrel) tRNA
Rfam family: tRNA
About the family: Transfer RNA (tRNA) molecules are approximately 80 nucleotides in length. Their secondary structure includes four short double-helical elements and three loops (D, anti-codon, and T loops). Further hydrogen bonds mediate the characteristic L-shaped molecular structure. tRNAs have two regions of fundamental functional importance: the anti-codon, which is responsible for specific mRNA codon recognition, and the 3' end, to which the tRNAs corresponding amino acid is attached (by aminoacyl-tRNA synthetases). tRNAs cope with the degeneracy of the genetic code in two manners: having more than one tRNA (with a specific anti-codon) for a particular amino acid; and 'wobble' base-pairing, i.e. permitting non-standard base-pairing at the 3rd anti-codon position.
Source: Rfam by way of RNAcentral
GGGGUUGUAGCUCAGUGGUAGAGCGCCUGCCUCUCAUGCGUGAGGCCCUGGGUUUGGUGCCCAGCACCA